Molecule: ribosomal RNA, 478 nt
Filed under: uncultured bacterium
Lineage: Bacteria
Description: partial 16S ribosomal RNA
Rfam family: Bacterial small subunit ribosomal RNA
Source: RNAcentral
GACGAACGCUGGCGGCAUGCCUAACACAUGCAAGUCGAGCGAGUUGAUCCCUUCGGGGUGAAGCUAGCGGCGGACGGGUGAGUAACACGUGGGCAACCUACCUCAUAGAGGGGAAUAGCCUUCCGAAAGGAAGAUUAAUACCGCAUAAGAUUGUAGCUUCGCAUGUAGCAGCAAUUAAAGGAGCAAUCCGCUAUGGGAUGGGCCCGCGGCGCAUUAGCUAGUUGGUGAGGUAACGGCUCACCAAGGUGACGAUGCGUAGCCGACCUGAGAGGGUGAUCGGCCACAUUGGGACUGAGACACGGCCCAGACUCCUACGGGAGGCAGCAGUGGGGAAUAUUGCACAAUGGGGGAAACCCUGAUGCAGCAAUGCCGCGUGAGUGAUGACGGCCUUCGGGUUGUAAAGCUCUGUCUUCGGGGACGAUAAUGACGGUACCCGAGGAGGAAGCCACGGCUAACUACGUGCCAGCCGCCGCGGUAA